AUGACCAACGCAAAAGUAGCUAGAGUGUUAUGCUUCCUAGUCCUUGUGGCUCUCUCUUCUUGUUCGCUCUAUGCACGAGCAGCCAACGAGGUAGAUCACUGCCUCCUUGAUAAAAAAAAGGUGAUGCGAGACUGUUGGCAUCACAUUGAAAAGAAACUUGGUGACCAGUACCCGCCACUCCAUAGUGCAUGUUGCAAUACAAUAAGAGAUGCAAAAGACAUCCACUGCGUCUGUGAUCGGUUCACCGCUCACGAACUGACUUUGCUCAGUGUAGCCAAGUUUGCCAUGGCUACACAUGUAUGCGGCAAUGGGUUGCGCACACACAGUCACUGUGCAGGU
RNAcentral lists this ribosomal RNA (339 nucleotides) under Triticum aestivum (bread wheat). Its description in RNAcentral is "partial small subunit ribosomal RNA". Lineage: Eukaryota; Viridiplantae; Streptophyta; Magnoliopsida; Poales; Poaceae. The record is from RNAcentral.